UCCUCUCUUGCCGCUCCUCCUCGGAGUGAUGGGCGUGGACGAGCGAGGGAGACACCGACUGCUCCAGCUGGAGAGAGAGAGAGAGAGAAUAUGAGAUGGGAAUUGGGAGAGCCUGGCGGCAGUAGAGCUCACCCUCUCGUUGAGCGCCCUGGCCCUGGACGCGAGCUCCUCUCUCUCGGCGCGGCUCUCGGCCAGCUCUUCCUGAAGAAGGCGUACUUCCUCUUGAAGCUCUGCCCUCUCCUGCUCAGAGCCGACCAGCAGAUGGGACUCCAUGAUGGCAGUGGCAGCGUUAGCUAGAAACCAAGAAGCCAUUAGACAGCGGCGAAAACAUCAAUAUGAUGCCAACACGAUCGCAGACAUCAUCAGACGGAGACUAUGAAGCUCGUCGCCACGGUCGCGCAGCAAGAGGGACGAUAUCUGACGCACGGGACGGGACCGGACGGGAGAAAACAUCGGUUUGGGCAUCAAAUAUGGAUCUGCGACUGGAUCGACCGAAGCCUUUCCAAAUAACGGCUUUUAUGCAACUCAUCCAAUGAGUUUACAGCGUCUGAAAGCACCGGGGCUUCCAUAAUUUGCAAGUGAAUCCACCUUUAGAAACUACGAUCAAUGACAAUACGGACACACAAUGACAGACAAUAUGGCGGCACAAUACAGCGAUCACGUGAUUGUGUGACGUUGGUGAUUGCAGUCUAUUGAGUUAAUCACAGCUUAAAAAUUAGUUAAUCGUAAUUCAUCGCAAAGACAAGACAAGACGGACAUAAACAUUCAACAUACUGUACAUAAGUACUGUAUUUGUCUAUUAUAACAAUAAAAAGAGAGAUCCACAAAUCAAAGAGAUCCACGGAUAGAAAGACUUGUAGUUCUUAAAAGAUAAAUUUGAGUACAAGUUACAGUAAUUUUACAUUGGGAAGUUAGGAAACCAUGACAGUCAGUGGUGGCUGCAAAUGGUAUACAAUAUGUUGUGCGUUGUGUUCAAUUAGGCGUGUUAAGAAAAAGUUUGUCUCUUGCUCCGUCCAAAUGCAUUAUGGGAAGUCGGGCAACCAUGACUGUUAGUAGUGGCUGCCAAAGCUUAAGCCAAUAAAAGGUGCGGUCCAAUGAGCGCCAGUGUCCACUCGCAUUUCUCUGCCUUUUCACUCUUAGUGUGCUAAAACGGUCUUAUUGUAAACUGUUUGAGGCAAAGCAUGAACGGGUCAUUCCGUGCAUGCGUUAAUUGCGUCAAAUAUUUUAACGUGAUUAAUCUUAAAAAAUUAAUUACCGCCCGUUAACGCAAUAAUUUUGACAGCCCUAAUUUUUAUUUACUUAAUGUUUACACUGCAUGUACAGUUGUCAAAUAUGUUAAAUUGAAAGCUGGAAAAUAAAUCAUCGGGAAACGGUUAAUUUGUAUUUUAUGCAUUGAUUCAGAUUUUCCAAUUAUAUAACAGUCUGCUUGAGCAGAUUUAUUGUCAUUAACAGUGGUGUCAACAAUAAUCGAUGCGGCGAUGCAUCCCGAUGCGGGGCAUGGACGAUGUGAUUCGAUGCGGGCAACAAGCUGAAUCGAUUCAGCGAAUUUUAAAAUAUAUAAGUACGUUCAAAAAUCUUCCCUGUGCAAUUCCAGUGAUGCAACGGAUUUGGUUUCCCCAUUUGUAAUAUUAUUCUCAUGUUUCAUUUUUUACACACUGCAUAACUCUGGUCAAGUUUCCCACCAACCUCGUAGAAGCCAAAAUGUCUCCAGAUGUCUGCUUUCAAUGUAUUAGGUGCAUCAAUAAUCUUUCUUGCUCCCUCUUUCUCCGCUUCAGCCAUUGUUAUGUUAUGUCCUAUCUCUUAGAGGUUAGAUCUUGUGCCCGAACCUGAACAGGUCUGGUCAGGCCCAAAAUGUUAAGCAUUCACGUUCGGGUCGCGUCGGGCCGCUGCGCCGGACUAAUAAAUUAUUUUUAAAAAAUGGGAUAAAACCGAGAGCAGGCUCUCUGUAUUGUGCAUUUGCUUGUGCACGCACAUGAAUGCAGUGUCGCCGCCCGCUUUUUCUUCUCCUCCGCUGUGGCGCUUGCAAUUCGUUAUGAAAGACACUUUUAUUUAUGUACACAAAGGCAACACGAAUCUGAUCCUUUUGAAUCUUCUCCUCUGUGUGUCUGCAAAAUCGCAUUUAAAAUUUUUAAAAAAAAUUUUUAUAUUAAACUUUCCCAGCGUUAUUUCGUUGUGUAAAUGCUUUUAUAAUGAUCAUAAAAACAUGUAGACUAUUUAAAC
Molecule: long non-coding RNA, 2220 nt
Organism: Corythoichthys intestinalis (scribbled pipefish)
Lineage: Eukaryota; Metazoa; Chordata; Actinopteri; Syngnathiformes; Syngnathidae
Exons: 3
Source: RefSeq, a predicted model, not a curated record